GGAGCCGUAGCGAAAGCGAGUUUUAACUGAGCGUUCAGUUACUUGACGUAGACCCGAAACCGGGCGACCUACCCAUGAGCAGGAUGAAGCGAAAGUAAAAUGUCGUGGAGGUCCGAACCCACGAGCGUUGAAAAGCUCGGGGAUGACUUGUGGGUAGCGGUGAAAUUCCAAUCGAGCCCGGAGAUAGCUGGUUCUCCCCGAAAUAGCUUUAGGGCUAGCCUCAAGGUGAGAGAUACGGAGGUAGAGCACUGAAUGUCCUAGGGGGUAUUGCACCUACCGAAGACUAUCAAACUCCGAAUGCCGUCAUCUUAUACUUGGGAGUCAGACUGUGGGUGAUAAGAUUCAUAGUCGAAAGGGCAACAGCCCAGAUCGUCAGCUAAGGUCCCUAAAUGUAAGUUAAGUGGUAAAGGAUGUGGGAUUGCACAGACAACCAGGAUGUUGGCUUAGAAGCAGCCACUCAUUCAAAGAGUGCGUAAUAGCUCACUGGUCGAGUGAUCCUGCGCCGAAGAUUUCCGGGGCUAAAACUUACUACCGAAGCUACGGCAUCAGUAAUGAUGGGUAGGGGAGCUUCCCAUACGGGUUGAAGCAUGACCGUAAGGACAUGUGGACAGUAUGGGAGUGAGAAUGUUGGCAUGAGUAGCGAGAUGUGGGUG
This 653-nucleotide ribosomal RNA is filed under the name Clostridioides difficile. RNAcentral describes it as "bacterial LSU rRNA". It matches the Rfam family "Bacterial large subunit ribosomal RNA", at positions 662 to 1323 of the family's 2925-position model. The record is from RNAcentral. Lineage: Bacteria; Bacillati; Bacillota; Clostridia; Peptostreptococcales; Peptostreptococcaceae.